AUUUAGAUAGUUUAAAAUAUAAGAAUAGUAAAUUGUGGAUUUACAGGUGUUAAUUAUAAUUCUAGAUC
Molecule: transfer RNA, 68 nt
Filed under: Valentia hoffmanni
Lineage: Eukaryota; Metazoa; Arthropoda; Insecta; Hemiptera; Reduviidae
Description: tRNA-His
Source: RNAcentral